CUAAGACCUACAUCUAUGCUCUGUCCGUAUUCACACCACCUUCAAGACUUCUCUAAGUCUGCGCCGUUCCUAUGGAACUCCCUUCCCUACUCCGUUAGACGCUCACCCAGUCUCAGUCCCUUCAAAAAUAACUGAAAACUCACUUCUACAGGAAAACAUAUCAAUUUAACUGUUAAUAGCUUUCCCUCCCCUCACCGAUUCUUGCCCUGUAACUGAGUCACCCAAUAAAAUAACCUUUCCCCAUCCAUGUAAUACAUCCUACUCUUACCUCCCCUUUAACCCCUUAAGGACACAUGACAUGUCAUGAGUCCCUUUUAUUCCAGAAGUUUGGUCCUUAAGGGGUUAACUAUGCCCCCACCACCUCCCUGAGCUCCAUUACCUGUCAAUCAUUCAUAUAACGUCUGUCACCCCCUCCCAGCUCCAUUACCUGUCAAUCAUUCAUAUAACGGCUGUCACCCCCUCCCCCGGCUCCAUUAACUGUCAAUCAUUCAUAUACCGUCUGUCACCCCCCUCCCUGAGCUCCAUUACCUGUCAAUCAUUCAUAUACCGUCUGUCACCCCUCCCUGAGCUCCAUUACCUGUCAAUCAUUCAUAUACCGUCUGUCACCCCCUCCCUGUGCUCCAUUACCUGUCAAUCAUUCAUAUACCGUCUGUCACCCCC
Non-coding RNA from Pelobates cultripes (western spadefoot toad), 660 nucleotides. NCBI's taxonomy places the organism in Eukaryota, Metazoa, Chordata, Amphibia, Anura, Pelobatidae. The record is from the annotation of a GenBank genome assembly.